This 432-nucleotide ribosomal RNA is filed under the name uncultured bacterium. RNAcentral describes it as "partial 16S ribosomal RNA". It matches the Rfam family "Bacterial small subunit ribosomal RNA", at positions 29 to 506 of the family's 1533-position model. The record is from RNAcentral.
AACGAACGCUGGCGGCAUGCCUAACACAUGCAAGUCGAACGAGACCUUCGGGUCUAGUGGCGCACGGGUGCGUAACGCGUGGGAACCUGCCCUUAGGUUCGGAAUAACUCCCCGAAAGGGGUGCUAAUACCGGAUAAUGUCUUCGGACCAAAGAUUUAUCGCCUUUGGAUGGGCCCGCGUUGGAUUAGCUAGUUGGUAGGGUAAAAGCCUACCAAGGCGACGAUCCAUAGCUGGUCUGAGAGGAUGAUCAGCCACACUGGGACUGAGACACGGCCCAGACUCCUACGGGAGGCAGCAGUGGGGAAUAUUGGACAAUGGGCGAAAGCCUGAUCCAGCAAUGCCGCGUGAGUGAUGAAGGCCUUAGGGUUGUAAAGCUCUUUUACCCGGGAUGAUAAUGACAGUACCGGGAGAAUGAGCUCCGGCGAACUCCGU